Molecule: ribosomal RNA, 467 nt
Filed under: uncultured bacterium
Lineage: Bacteria
Description: partial 16S ribosomal RNA
Rfam family: Bacterial small subunit ribosomal RNA
Source: RNAcentral
GACGAACGCUGGCGGCGUGCUUAACACAUGCAAGUCGAACGGAAAGGCCCUGCUUUUGUGGGGUGCUCGAGUGGCGAACGGGUGAGUAACACGUGAGUACCUGCCCUUGACUUUGGGAUAACUUCAGGAAACUGGUGCUAAUACCGGAUAGGAGCUCCUGCUGCAUGGUGGGGGUUGGAAAGUUUCGGCGGUUGGGGAUGGACUCGCGGCUUAUCAGCUUGUUGGUGGGGUAGUGGCUUACCAAGGCUUUGACGGGUAGCCGGCCUGAGAGGGUGACCGGCCACAUUGGGACUGAGAUACGGCCCAGACUCCUACGGGAGGCAGCAGUGGGGAAUAUUGCACAAUGGGCGGAAGCCUGAUGCAGCAACGCCGCGUGCGGGAUGACGGCCUUCGGGUUGUAAACCGCUUUCGCCUGUGACGAAGCGUGAGUGACGGUAAUGGGUAAAGAAGCACCGGCUAACUACGUG